GCUCAGAAACUCAAAUGAAUGACGGGGCCCGCACAAGCGGUGGAGUAUGUGGUUUAAUUCGAUGCAACGCGAAGAACCUUACCUGGUCUUGACAUCCCGGAGACCCUUAGGAAACUAGGGGGUGCUUCCAUCUGGAAGAAUCUGGAGACAGGUGCUGCAUGGCUGUCGUCAGCUCGUGUCGUGAGAUGUUGGGUUAAGUCCCGCAACGAGCGCAACCCUUGCCUUUAGUUGCCAGCAGUUCGGCUGGGCACUCUAAAGGGACUGCCGGUGUUAAACCGGAGGAAGGUGGGGAUGACGUCAAGUCCUCAUGGCCUUUAUGACCAGGGCUACACACGUGCUACAAUGGCCGAUACAAAGGGCAGCGACACUGCGAGGUGAAGCCAAUCCCGUAAAAUCGGUCUCAGUCCGGAUUGGAGUCUGCAACUCGACUUCAUGAAGCUGGAAUCGCUAGUAAUCGCAGAUCAGCCAAGCUGCGGUGAAUACGUUCCCGGGCCUU
This 496-nucleotide ribosomal RNA is filed under the name uncultured Desulfobulbus sp. RNAcentral's name for it is "bacterial SSU rRNA". It matches the Rfam family "Bacterial small subunit ribosomal RNA", at positions 891 to 1382 of the family's 1533-position model. Lineage: Bacteria; Pseudomonadati; Thermodesulfobacteriota; Desulfobulbia; Desulfobulbales; Desulfobulbaceae. The record is from RNAcentral.